This 560-nucleotide ribosomal RNA is filed under the name uncultured bacterium. RNAcentral's name for it is "bacterial SSU rRNA". It matches the Rfam family "Bacterial small subunit ribosomal RNA", at positions 914 to 1473 of the family's 1533-position model. The record is from RNAcentral.
CGGGGGGCCCGCACAAGCGGUGGAGCAUGUGGUUUAAUUCGANGCAACGCGCAGAACCUUACCCAGGCUUGACAUCCCCCUGACAACCCUUGAAAGAGGGCCUUCCCUUUUGGGACAGGGUGACAGGUGCUGCAUGGCUGUCGUCAGCUCGUGUCGUGAGAUGUUGGGUUAAGUCCCGCAACGAGCGCAACCCUUACCUCUAGUUGCCACCAUUUAGUUGGGCACUCUAGAGGGACUGCCUCGGUUAACGAGGAGGAAGGUGGGGACGACGUCAAGUCCUCAUGGCCCUUAUGCCUGGGGCUACACACGUGCUACAAUGGCCGGCACAAAGGGCAAGCAACCCCGCAAGGGUGAGCAAAUCCCAAAAAACCGGUCUCAGUCCGGAUUGGAGUCUGCAACUCGACUCCAUGAAGUUGGAAUCGCUAGCAAUCGCGGAUCAGCACGCCGCGGUGAAUACGUUCCCGGGCCUUGUACACACCGCCCGUCACACCACGAAAGCUGGCUGUACCAGAAGUAGCUGGGCCAACACUUCGGGGAGGCAGGUCCUAAGGUAUGCUGUA